This 5867-nucleotide long non-coding RNA is filed under the name Gossypium barbadense (sea-island cotton). RNAcentral describes it as "long non-coding RNA (GBAR_LNC010373)". The record is from RNAcentral. Lineage: Eukaryota; Viridiplantae; Streptophyta; Magnoliopsida; Malvales; Malvaceae.
AAGAAUUGGCUAUUAUGCUUGAUACUAAUGCCGAAUAUGAGAAUGUUGUACUUGAAAAAUGUAGGUGAACAUGACAAGUGUAUUCGGCUUAGGGCAUAAAGGAUAUGAAAAUUUGGUAUUUAUUUUUGAUUGCGUGUGUAUGACCAUGGAUAAUUGGCUGCACAAAUAUUAUGAAUACAUAAUGUAUGAUAAAUUUAUUAAGCUACAAAACAUUAUACAUGAUCGGCCAAUGUAAAUUAUUUGAGUAAAGUAUAUCUUGAUGGUACAUUUCGGCUAGUAUAAAAUGUAUAUGGAUUUCGUAUGACUAUGUUUAAUUUGGGAAGUAAAUUGUUUGAUUUAGCUCAAGAGCCUAGAGGAUCAAAGUUGGAUAAGGGAAAGGAAAAAGUGAUCGAAUAGCCGUCGUAAUCAUUCGGCAACUUCCGAGGUAAGUUUUAAGUGAUUAAACGUUGAGUAAAUUCAAUCAUAAUAGGACAUAAUGAGUUGAUUUAAUAAGAUAUUAUGUGGCCAUGAUAUGUCUUAAACUCAAAUGGUAAGUUCAUAAGUGUUUGGACUAGGAAAUUUAAGAGCAAAUUGUAAUAACUUGCUUAUGACAGCGGCAGUAACGUGAUUUUAGAAAAUCACUAUAAAUUGUUGGUGUGAAAUUAUAGGCUGAAUAAAAUAUGUAAUCAAAGCUUAAUUAGUCUAGUUUCUUAUAAAAGAGACCGUGUAAGCAAAGAAAUUUUCUAUAAAGAGAUAUUUAAAGUUGUGUGAGACAGUGUCAGAAUGACUCCGAAAUCCCCUGUUCUAUUUUUAGAAAAUCAUUAUAAUUUGUACAAAAAUGGUUAUAUGAUAAAAUUUAUAUGCUUAGAGUCCUUAAUGAGUCUAGUUUCAAAUGAAAUAAAAUAGAACAUAUUUUGAAUUCUGUACAAUGAUAAAAUUGAUUCGUAGUGAAGAGUGGUCAGAUUAGUUAAACAGUGAAACAGGGGAAACUUUAAGAAAAAUAUGGUAUUGAUUGGCCAAACCUAAAAUUCUGAAAAUUUUAUGGCUGGAAGAUAUAUGAGUCUAUAUUCAGGGAAAAUUAACGGAAAUUGAUUUUGAGUUUUGUAGCUCCAGUUAUAAAUAAUUUAGUGACUAUUGCGCAGGAAAAACAGCUUGUAGUGAAUAUAUGAAUUUGUUGUAAACAUUGAUGAAACUAUUUGAGUUGCUUAUAAGCUAUUGCUGAAAUUGAUGUACAAGAUAAAUAUAUAUGUGGUAAAGCCGAAUGGCAAAUGUGAAAUAUGUAUGAGAUAUGUAUAUGUGGUAAAGCCGAAUGGCCAAUGUGAAAUAUGUAUUAGAUAUGUAUAUGUGGUAAAGCCGAAUGGCUAAUGUGAAAUAUGUAUGAGAUAUGUAUAUGUGGUAAAGCCGAAUGGCAAAUGUGAAAUAUGUAUGAGAUAUGUAUAUGUGGUAAAGCCGAAUGGCUAGUGUGAACUAUGUAUGAGAUAUGUAUACGUGGUAAAGCCGAAUGGCUAAUGUGAAAUAUGUAUGAGAUAUGUAUACGUGGUAAAGCCGAAUGGCUAAUGCGAAAUAUGUAUGAGAUAUGUAUAUGUGGUAAAGCCGAAUGGCUAGUGAUUCGGCUAGUGUGAAAUAUGUAGGAGAUGUGUGUAUAUUGUGGCCGAAUGACCAAAUGUGAAAGGUGUGUAUUAUUAGAUAUUUGAUGAGGCAAAUGAAUUACAAAUAUGACAGUCGAUGUGAAUGCUGUAACAUGUGAAUAAAUGUACAUGAAACUUGGAAAUGUAUUCCGGGUAAGACCCGAUGACUACGUGUGGAGAUUAUGUCCGGGUAAGACCCGAUGACUACGUGUGGAGAUUUUGUCCAGGUAAGACCUGAUAACUACGUGUGGCGACUAUUCGAGCUAAAGGUUUCGCUGAAGAUUAGAGUAAAGCAUAAGAUUAUACGACCUCACAGUAACGAUUGGUAAUAAAUACGUUCAAUGCGUUAAGCUGGUCAGGUAUGUAUUCUGAGAUUAUAUUUAAGCUUGAUUUGGACUAAAUCACAAGGUCGUUAUGUGAUGCAUAUGUGAGUAAAGCAAUAAGACUGUUCUAUGAUUAUUGUGCGUUUGGUCAAUGUGGAAAGUUAGGUGAAAAUGUGUAAUGUACCUAUGUUUAUAAGAGAUCACUAUCAAGUGAGAAUUUAUCUGCCUAUUAUAUAUGAUGAGAUGGGCAUAUUCGGUAAAGGGAUGGUAUGCCAGAAGGAAGAGUGAAAUAAAAAUACGAACAACUAUGUUAUAAUUUGAUUGUUAUCUGUUGACACUGCUUAAAACUUACUAAGCAUUGUAAUGCUUACUCCGUUUACUUUGUUUCCUCUAUUUUAUAGAUCUCAUUUGGAAGCUACAGGCUCGGGGAUCGUCAGCAACUAGUCACACUAUCACUAUCCACUGCUUGUUACUGUUAUGUUUUGAAUUAUUUUAUGGCAUGUAAAGAAUAGACCAGUGGCCGAAGAAUAUUUUGGUUAAUGUAUAUAAGCCAUGCGAAAAUGGCAUCUUUUAAAUGUGUACUUAUAGCAGUUAAAUUGUAUCCCUGACUGUCUUUAGUAUUUACCUAAAGGAACUUUCUUUAUAAAUAAAAUACUCAAAAUUUUUACUGUUCGGAUAUGAGUUUCAAGUCCGGUAAUGCCCCUUUACCUAUUCCGGCGACAGAUACGGGAUAGGGGUGUUACAUUUUAUUGGUAUCAGAGCUACAGUUUAGUCGAUUCUAGGACUAACGUAGCACGCGUGAGUCUAUUUAUACAUGCCAUAAAGUGAUAAAGUGAUAGUGUGAUGAUUUUUGACUAUUAAAAUGUGUUUGUUGUAUUGUAAUGAAUUUUGAUCCCGAUCGAGCUGUAGCAAGCUUCUGACUAUGAGAAUUUGCGAUAUAACUUCACUUGGAUAUGCUUAAAUUAUUAAGUUGAUCAGGUACGUAUCAUGUACUCGUAUUUGAAUUUUGAUAUGGAUUGAAUUAUAAGGGUAUAAGUGAUGCAAUUUUGAAAGAGUGUUACGACUAUAAAUGUGAUCUUUGUAUGUGGCUAUGGAACUGAAAGUUGAAUGGUCGAUAAGCAUGUUGUGUUUGUAUUCAAGUAAUGUAAAUGAUAUACUAAUGUGUAUUGUUAUAUAUGUAUAUGUGCAUGAGAAUUGAGAGUUAUAUAUCCGGGCUAAGUCCCGAAGAGCAUUCGUGCUAGUGAUAUAUCCGGACUAAGUCCCGAAGAGCAUUCGUGCUAGUGAUAUAUCCGGGCUAAACCUCAAAGGCAUUCGUGCUGGAAUUAUGAGGCACUGUGUGUGCAAGUUCUUCAAUCGAGCACUAUGUGUGCAAGUUCUUCAAUCGAGCGCUAUGUGUGCGAAAUCAGUCAGUGGGCACUGCAUAUGCGAAGUGUGUUUCAUGUAUGACCUCGUGUGAGACGAUGGCAUUGAUUUGUAAUAGUAAGUAAGACCUAAAGAGAAAAUUCGUUAAACGGACUAAACACUGGUGAACUAAUUAGAGUCGGAGAUUAUACAACAUUGUGCCAAAUUGGUAAUGAAAUAAGUUCGAGACAUUAAAUUGACAAGGUAUGUGAUAUAUAUACAUUAUAAAUACGAGAUUCUCGGUAUAUGCAAUUAUAUGUGCUAUUGUGAAUAAACACUAUUUUGUUAAUCAUGUUCAAGAAAUUAUUUUGACUAAGUUUCGACAUUUGAAAGUUGGUAAGAAUUUCUGAUGAAUGGUGAUAAUUUUGGAUAUAUGAGUUAUGUGCUAAGAAUAAAUCUCAUGCCAGAAUAUUAUAUUAGGCUUUAUGCUUAUUCGACUGUAUACGGGUAAUGUUAACUAAGAAAGAAUGUGCUAAAUGAAAUAAAUGUUCAGGUACGUGGAAGUUGAUUUUUCCUUUGAAAAUAAGUUAAGUUAAAUAUUGAUGCAAGAUGUUAACAUAAUCUCGUAUCAGCUUAUAUAUGUUGCUGAAUUGAGAAUUUAAAACUUUCAGCUACUGUAUCAGUGGUUACUUGAAAUAGCCGAAGAUAAAGGAUAGUAUUAAAUUCUUAUUGAUAGUGCUUUAUUGAAUGGGCGUGUGAAAGAUUAUCUAAGUUACAUGUAUAAAAAUAUAUAUAUAUAAAAUACUUUCAUAAGAUGUUAAAAUGAGUGUUGUCAUGAACCAAAUGAAUAUAUAUAUUUGAGUUAUUCAGGCCUUGUGCCUAGUAGGUUUGGGACCGGUGAAGUGUAUACUAGGCUAAUAGCCUAAUUAGUUGAUGGCUGUCGAGUUUAUUCAGACUUUGGGAUUAAGUAGGCUAGAACCUGUGUGUGGGGUUCGAGCCUAUACCUAGUAGGUUCAGACCGAUGAGUAAAUUGUGUUAUACCUAUGUGUGUUAUCACCGAAAUGAAAAGUAAGUGAGUAAAUGUCAAUUUUGUGGAUCUCUGUGAUUUAUUAUGAUCAAACUAAGAAAGUUUUGUUAGUUAAAGCACUGAAGCGUAAGUUCAGAGUAGGGGAAACUAGGUGGGAUCUAGAGAACACAACGAGAGAAAGUUACCCUAUCGUAUUUUCCGGUAAGAUUUUCGGGGACGAAAAUCCCUAAAUGGGGGCAGAGUUAUGACACCCUUAAUUUGACCCUAGUCGGAAAGUGGUUUCGGGACCACAAAACUGAGCCACAAAAAAAUAUUAAUCGUUAUAUUUUAUGCUUAUUAUUUAUGAAUAAGUAUGUGUGAAAAUUUCAUGCUUUAAUUUUGUCAUUUGGAUGUGAAAUAAAUAAAAAGGGGUUUAUGUGAAAAAUCUUGAAAAUGUCAUAGGUUAAUUGGUAGUGGCUAAAAAUUUGCAUGGUUUGAAGCAUGAGGGACUUGCAUGUCAAACAUUCCUUUUUUCUUGGUAGUGGACGGCAAGGAUGGGCAUGAAUGACACAUUUUGGCAUUUUGUAUGUUAUAUUUUAGUUAAAUAAUAUCAAAUAGUUUUAUAAUAAAUCAAGUUAUUAUAUGUCAUAAGGGAUAAGAGGAAUUAAAUAAUUAAAAGGGUGAGAAAAAAAAAACAAAGUUGGGUCUUUUCUUCUCCUCCAUUGCCGUAGCCUAAAGGGGGGGAAGAAAGUUUGGUUGCUUUGAUUUUUGGCUUAGAAGAUGGCUAGAAUUAGGUAUGUAUUGAAUGAUUCUUGAAAAUCUAUGCAUGUUUGAGAUGAUUAGUUCAAACUCUACUUAUCCCAUGGAUUAAACUUAGAAUUUUGAGGUUUGAGAUUCGGUCAAUAAGCUUGAAACUCAUAGUAGUUUGUUUUGGUAAGCUUGGUAUACGGAUGAUAGAUGUGUUUUGGUUUUGGUUUGAUAAUGAUGUUAAUGAUGGUGAUUUUCGGUCAUGCAUUAACUUAAAUUGUAAGUAUGAUUUAUGGUAUAAUUUGUGUGAUGGAAUGGUCUUGAGAUUUGGCUUGAUUAAAUGGGUAAAAUGCUAAGUGUUUUAAAGAUGAUGUAAUGGUUAUUUCGGUUUAUGUGAAGUAAAUAUAGAUGAUGGUUAUAAGCUGUUUUAUGAUUUGAUAAUGGUGAUUAAAUCUUGUAGUUAAGUGUUUAGAUAUAUAUAUUAAUAAUGAAUUUAGUUGUACUUGCUAUGUGAGAAAUGUGCAAUGCUAUAGGUAUUUGAUUAUUAGAUAUGGUUAAUUUAAGUUGAUUUGUAAUGGUAUGAUUGCAUUGAUGAAAUGGUUUGGAAAUGGUGGGAAGAAUUGGCUAUUAUGCUUGAUAUUAAUGCCGAAUAUGAGAAUGUUGUACUUGAAAAAUGUAGGUGAACAUGACAAGUGUAUUCGGCUUAGGGCAUAAAGGAUAUGAAAAUUUGAUAUUUAUUUUUGAUUGUGUGUGUAUGACCAUGGAUAAUUGGCUGCACAAAUAUUAUGAAUACAUAAUGUAUGAUAAAUUUAUUAAGCUACAAAACAUUAUACAUGAUCGGCC